RNAcentral lists this long non-coding RNA (547 nucleotides) under Olea europaea subsp. europaea. The record is from RNAcentral. Lineage: Eukaryota; Viridiplantae; Streptophyta; Magnoliopsida; Lamiales; Oleaceae.
AUAGGAAAUGCAUUAAACUUCCAGAGAACAAGUGUGCAUUGUUUACAGAAUAAAACUGUGAUCAAACGCGCAACCAAGUUCCAUUUCCGCUCUGUAAUGUUCCCACACAGAAUAGUCUAAAAACACGCGAAAAGUUUUAAAAUCUCCAAUACUUCUCGAUAUAGCAGUAGAAGUAGAAGAAGAAUGCAGCAAAAGAAAAUAUAAAUUGACCUCGUAAAUACAUGUUGCUUUCAGAGGCAAAUGCCAAGGCCAGCAUCUAGGUCUCUAAAUAUUUCUAUUGCAUGCAAUUAUUUCAAACUUUUCCAAUGCCAUAGGCCAUAUAGCCUACGAUAUUCUUAUUUGAUUCUCACUCAAGGCUACCUGCAAAAGGCACAAAUCAUUAAACAGAAAAAAAAAAUUUAGUAAUAUUAUUCCUAUGCCAGUAACAUUAGAGAAAAGAAAGUUGAUACACACACACAGAUAGGACGGGACGCUGAGGCCUGGGGGUGGUGGAGGUGGUGGUGGUGUACAUACAUUGCGUUGUGCUAAAUCUAAUAAUAUACAACAC